UGGGGAAUAUUGCACAAUGGGCGAAAGCCUGAUGCAGCAACGCCGCGUGAGUGAUGAAGGCCUUCGGGUUGUAAAGCUCUGUCUUCUGGACGAUAAUGACGGUACCAGAGGAGGAAGCCACGGCUAACUACGUGCCAGCAGCCGCGGUAAUACGUAGGUGGCAAGCGUUGUCCGGAUUUACUGGGCGUAAAGGAUGCGUAGGCGGAUACUUAAGUCAGAUGUGAAAAUCCCGGGCUUAACUUGGGAACUGCAUUUGAAACUGGGUAUCUAGAGUGCGGGAGAGGAAAGUGGAAUUCCUAGUGUAGCGGUGAAAUGCGUAGAGAUUAGGAAGAACACCAGUGGCGAAGGCGACUUUCUGGACCGUAACUGACGCUGAGGCAUGAAAGCGUGGGGAGCAAACA
Molecule: ribosomal RNA, 401 nt
Filed under: uncultured bacterium
Lineage: Bacteria
Description: bacterial SSU rRNA
Rfam family: Bacterial small subunit ribosomal RNA
Source: RNAcentral